ACUAGGUUAAAAAUGUGUGCCACCACACCAGGCCAUUUCUUUUCUUUUUGAACUUGGAUUAUCAAAGAUGAGCAAAAGGAUAGCUCUUAUUAUCAGAAUUCCUGAGAGGAACUGUAUUAACUAAAAAAUGGAUCAAAGACCUAAAUCUGAGUUAAUAAUGUAAGUCUUAGAAGAAAACAAAUCUUCAUGACCUUGGAUUGGCCAGUAUUUUCUAACAUAUGACUUUUAAAGCACAAGUAAUCAAAAGAAAAUAGAUUAACUGGACUUCAUCCAAUAUGAAAAAUUUUUGUGCUUCAAGGGCUAGGGGUAUAGGUCAGUGAUUGAGCGCUUGCCUAGCAUGUGUGAGAGGCUCUGGGUUCUAUCCCCAGCACCACAAAACAAAACAAAAAACUUUUGUGCUUCAAAAGUUAGUAUCAAGCUAAAGUGAAAAGAUGGAUUUGACCAUCAAAAAAGCUGAAAACAUAAGUCUUUAGUUCCGUACCUCAGAACCUCAAGAAGAGGGUGUAAGAGGACAACCUAGAAAUGAGUCUAAUAUUUAGAGUACAUUAAAAAAAGGCCUUAAUGGGCUGGAGUUGUGGCUCAGUGUUAGAGCGCUCGCCUUGCACAUGCGAGACCCUGGGUUCGAUCCUCAGCACCACAUAAAAAUAUAUGAAUAAAUUAAAGGUAUUGUGUCCAACUACAACUAAAAAAUAAAUAUUAAAAAAAGGCCUUCAACGGCAGAGGGACAAAGAGCCCCAGGCUUAUUUAUUUAUUUUUAAGACAGUGUCUUACCAAGUUGUCCAGGCUGGCCUUGAACUUGGGAUCCUCCUGCCUCAGCCUCCUGAGUUGCUGGAAUUACAGGUGUUGUCAACAUGCCUGUCAAUCCUUUCACUUUUUAAACAGUAUCUUUAGAAGAGAAGUUCUUGAGGUUAGAAAUGAUGGUGGAAUGUGAUGGAUGUUACUAUCCAAAGUACAGUAUGAAGACAUGAAUUGUGUGAAUAUACUUUGUAUACAACCAGAGAUAUGAAAAAUUGUGC
This 1016-nucleotide long non-coding RNA is filed under the name Marmota monax (woodchuck). The stretch from base 569 to 637 matches the Rfam family "tRNA". The record is from RNAcentral. Lineage: Eukaryota; Metazoa; Chordata; Mammalia; Rodentia; Sciuridae.